UACGUAGGGGGCAAGCGUUAUCCGGAUUUACUGGGUUUAAAGGGUGCGUAGGCGGUCGGAUAAGUUAGAGGUGAAAUCCCGAGGCUCAACUUCGGAAUUGCCUCUGAUACUGUUCGGCUAGAGAGUAGUUGCGGUAGGCGGAAUGUAUGGUGUAGCGGUGAAAUGCAUAGAUAUCGCGCAGAACUCCGAUUGCGAAGGCAGCAUGCCGGCUCCACACUGACGCUGAGGCACGAAAGCGUGGGUAUCGAACAGG
Molecule: ribosomal RNA, 253 nt
Filed under: uncultured bacterium
Lineage: Bacteria
Description: partial 16S ribosomal RNA
Rfam family: Bacterial small subunit ribosomal RNA
Source: RNAcentral